This 775-nucleotide ribosomal RNA is filed under the name uncultured Neocallimastigales. RNAcentral describes it as "partial large subunit ribosomal RNA". It matches the Rfam family "Eukaryotic large subunit ribosomal RNA", at positions 18 to 643 of the family's 3401-position model. Lineage: Eukaryota; Fungi; Neocallimastigomycota; Neocallimastigomycetes; Neocallimastigales. The record is from RNAcentral.
UCAGACGAUGCGUCAUGCAUAUCAAUAAGCGGAGGAAAAGAAACUAACAAGGAUUCCCCUAGUAACGGCGGAGUGAAGCGGGAAGAGCUCAAAUUUGAAAUCUUAAAGGGUUUCCCUUUACGAAUUGUAGUUUAAAGAAGUGUUUUCUGUUGAGGUUUUGGUAAAAGUUCUUUGGAAUAGGACAUCAUAGAGGGUGAGAAUCCCGUAUUUGACCUUUACUUUCAACUUUGUGAUUACACUUUCAAAGAGUCGGAUUGUUUGGGAAUGCAGUCCAAAAUGGGUGGUAAAUUUCAUCUAAAGCUAAAUAUUGGCGAGAGACCGAUAGCGAACAAGUACCGUGAGGGAAAGAUGAAAAGAACUUUGAAAAGAGAGUUAAACAGUACGUGAAAUUGUCAAAAGGGAAGCGUUUGACACCAGUGUUGUUUUUCUGAAAAUCAAUUAAAGAACUGUUUAUGCUAAGCUGUUUAGACUUUAUCAGCUAUCUGUUUAGUUUUGAGCUUUUCUUUAAUGCACUUUUCAGUUAACAAGUCAACAUCAAUUUCUUUUGCUGUAAAAAAGCUUGAGGAAGGUGGCUUGAGAUUCGUCUUAAGUGUUAUAGCCUCUUGCCUAUGCAGUCGGAGAGAUUGAGGUCUGCAGCGUAGAUCCUUCGGGGCUAAAUGCAUUUGUGCUAAGUUAUAGCAUUUUAUAGACAACUUGUUGACUAUGAUUUGUCUUGUAGCUUACUCGCUUAUGUUAUUUUACCUACGCUUAGGAUGUUGACACACGCGCGUGCUCG